AUCUUUUUCGGCAGGUUUCAUUUUUCCAUGUACUUUGCAAACCUUGCAAUCGGGAAACUCUUCACAGAUGUGCAGAUAACCUUCUUCCAAAUUCUUGAGGUCAAUCUUCUCACUCUCCUUGAUUAAAGGAUAAACGAUAUAGACCUGGCGUCCUUCAUCAAUCUGUUUACGCACAGAACGAUACAGGCUUACACGAUGGCUAUCGAACUGGUGGAUAGUAGCAAUCGGCUUUCUUCCCGGAGGAAGCUCGUCAAUAACCGAUACAUCCAGAUCACCAUAAAGCGUCAUUGCCAACGUUCGCGGUAUGGGGGUUGCGGUCAUUACCAGUAUGUGAGGCGGCUGUACGCUUUUUGCCCACAAGCGGGCACGCUGAGCUACGCCAAAACGAUGCUGUUCGUCGAUGACAACCAGACCCAAUGAUGCAAAGUUCACGGUAUCUUCAAUGACGGCGUGCCUAUUGAAGAAUGAGCCAACGAGUUACGGGCACCAGCGAGGUUAAGCAGGAAAUGCGGAGCCGUAGGGAAACCGAGUCUGAAAAGGGCGGAUAGUUGGUGUUCGUAGACCCGAAACUGUAGUGAUCUACCCAUGAUCAGGUUGAAGCACGGGUAAAAUCGUGUGGAGGACCGAACCGGUGAGUGUUGAAAAACUUUCGGAUGAAUCGUGGGUAGCGGUGAAAUUCCAAUCGAACGCAGAGAUAGCUGGUUCUCCUCGAAAUAGCUUUAGGGCUAGCCUCAGGCAGUAAGCAUAGGCGGUAGAGCACUGAUCGGGAUAGGGACUGUAAUGGUUACCGAACCCUGUCAAACUACGAAUGGCUAUGCUGCAGAGCCUGGGAGUCAGACUACGAGAGAUAAGUCCCGUUGUCAAAAGGGAAACAGCCCAGACCAUCAGCUAAGGUCCCCAAUGCCAUACUAAGUGGAAAAGGAUGUGGGGUCUCAUAAACAACCAGGAUGUUGGCUCAGAAGCAGCCACCAUUUAAAGAGUGCGUAAUAGCUCACUGGUCGAGAGGCCCUGCGCCGAAGAUUCCCGGGGCUAAAGUAUGGAACCGAAGCUAUGGAUGCAGGUUUAGGCCUGCGUGGUAGAGGAGCGUUCCCAUCGGGCUGAAGCCGUACUGGAAGGUGCGGUGGACUGGUGGGAAGUGAGAAUGUUGGCAUGAGUAGCGAAAAGAAUGGUGAGAAUCCAUUCCACCGAAAGCAUAAGGAUUCCUGAGCAACGAUCGUCGUCUCAGGGUAAGUCGGGACCUAAUCCGAGGCAAAGAGCGUAGGAGAUGGACAACUGGUUGAUAUUCCAGUACCGGCAGUGAUCGUUUGAACGAAGGAGUGACGCAGGAAGGCAGGUCCGCACGAGAUUGGUAGAUCGUGUGCAAGCGUGUAGGCUGGUUGCCAGGCAAAUCCGGUAACUGAGGCUGAGGCGUGACGCGGAGGGAACUUGUUCCCGAAGGGAUUGAGCCUACGCUGCCGAGAAAAGCUUCUAGUGAGAAAGCUGCCGCCCGUACCGUAAACCGACACAGGUAUGCGGGGAGAGAAUCCUAAGGUGCGCGGGAGAACCCUCGUUAAGGAACUCGGCAAAAUGUACCCGUAACUUCGGGAUAAGGGUAGCCACAAAGGUGAAGGGACUCGCUCCUGGAGCCCGGUGUGGUCGCAGAGAAGAGGCCCAAGCGACUGUUAACCAGAAACACAGGUGCCUGCGAAAGAGAAAUCUGAAGUAUAGGUGCUGACACCUGCCCAGUGCUGGAAGGUUAAAGAAGGAUGUCCGGGUUCGACCCAAAGCAUUCGACUGAAGCCCCAGUGAACGGCGGCCGUAACUAUAACGGUCCUAAGGUAGCGAAAUUCCUUGUCGGGUAAGUUCCGACCCGCACGAAAGGUGUAACGAUUUGGGCACUGUCUCAACGAGGGACCCGGUGAAAUUGAAAUACCUGUGAAGAUGCAGGUUACCCGCGACUGGACAGAAAGACCCCAUGGAGCUUUACUGUAACCUAAUAUUGGGUUCUGAUACUUGAUGCACAGGAUAGGUGGGAGGCAUGGAAGGCAGUCCUCUGGGAUUGCCGGAGCCGCCGUUGGGAUACCACCCUUCAAUUAUCGGGAUUCUAACCGAGCGAGCAACGAUCGCCGGGACAGUGUUAGGCGGGCAGUUUGACUGGGGCGGUCGCCUCCUAAAGAGUAACGGAGGCGCCCAAAGGUUCCCUCAGCGCGGACGGAAACCGCGCGCACCAUUUCAAGACAGACUCCAAACUGGAAACAGUACGUUCGGCGAGGCCUACGAAUUUUAACCUGAUUUGCGGUCUGCGUAUGACCUAUUAACCAUUUAGUACGGAUGUUAUGAAAAAAACAUUUUUAAUGCUGCUCACACUUGUUCUGUCAUUGCUUACUUGCGUAAGUUGCAGCGAAGAGACAUUAGAUUACAACAACCCCGAUGUAGACCUUUUCGUAAGGCAACUCAAAGCGGGAAAUUACAAUACCAAGAGUCCGAAGGGCUUUGUAGAAGUACCUAAAUUUACGGAGAAGGAUAUUCCGACAUUGCUCAAUUAUGCCGAAGAUCUGACUUUGAUCACUUCUUUUCCGCUUCCGCCGGUGUCUGCUUAUUAUAGUGGCAAGGUCCGCUUGGGUGAAUGUAUGUUGUGGGUUGUGGAAACCAUCCGGUUAGGUCAUUAUGCUUCGUUUGGCUGCAAAAUGGUGAGAGCCAAUGCCGAGAACUAUGAAGGUAUCUAUUUCCUGACUGAUGAAGAGUUGCUCGAUGCUGCUGCCCGAUACCGUCGCUGGU
This 2757-nucleotide ribosomal RNA is filed under the name human gut metagenome. RNAcentral's name for it is "bacterial LSU rRNA". The stretch from base 368 to 2757 matches the Rfam family "Bacterial large subunit ribosomal RNA", at positions 1 to 2449 of the family's 2925-position model. The record is from RNAcentral.